UUCUCUUGCACGCCUCUUCGUAUGUCCCGUUCAUGCAUCUCUCACGAUUCACGGCAGUUGUUCUUGGAGAACUGGGAAAGCCAAAAAUUAGCCCAUUAAUUUUCUCUUCCACGCGGUAGCUACGUGUAUUUCCUCUGGGUUCACAGAACCUUAGAUUUCUUCUCUCAGUUUCUCUUCUCUCUCAUUCUCACAUCUUGCGAUCAAAUUCCCACAGGAGGUUGUAUUUUAAAAUGCGAAUUUUUCCUGAUUUUCGUUUUCCUCUUACCUCUUUGUUUUACUUCCAUCCUUUAUGAAGCAGCUUGAUUUUGCAACGGGCCUUUUUGUUUCGAAGCUACGGGUUUUGCUAGCCGAUUCGCAUCAGGAGCUGCUUCAGUUGGAAGAAUGUGUCAAGCUAUUAGAGGAUGUGUACCCUCAAAGGGAAGCAGCAGGGACUUCUUGGGCUUUUUGAUGGUGCCUGGUACCUAGCAAGAUCUGUGUUGGGAAUCUCAGGGUGAAUGUGGAGAAGAAGGUGACAGGAUGACAGGUGGGCGAUCAGAGCUGAUCUCUACAACAUGAAGUGUUCGUGUUGCAGGAGCUCUAUUCGAUCAAAGAUAUGACCAGAGUGUUGGAUAUGGUUUUGUAAAGUAUAGAGAAAGACAUGCUUCUAAGAUUCUUGCACUAUCCUUC
Molecule: long non-coding RNA, 666 nt
Organism: Tripterygium wilfordii
Lineage: Eukaryota; Viridiplantae; Streptophyta; Magnoliopsida; Celastrales; Celastraceae
Exons: 5
Source: RefSeq, a predicted model, not a curated record